This 1855-nucleotide long non-coding RNA is filed under the name Nicotiana benthamiana. Its description in RNAcentral is "long non-coding RNA (NBEN_LNC037921)". The record is from RNAcentral. Lineage: Eukaryota; Viridiplantae; Streptophyta; Magnoliopsida; Solanales; Solanaceae.
UGCCUCACACUCAAAAACCUUCCAUUUGUCAGUGCCUGCAAGUGAAAUACCAUGUGUACAAUUCCUAAAUGGUUAGUCUUUUCAUUCCUUGGUACAGCUAGAUACUCAUCAAUCUUUUAUGAUAGUAAUAAUGUUGGGUGGAGUUAACACGAAACAAACACAUAUAUGACUGUUUUAUUCUAACUUGUUCUUUUUUAUUUCCUCCCUCAUUAUUUGAUGCUGUAAUCUCCUUCCAAUAUAUCUCGACUGUAUAUCAUUAUGUAAAAAUAGUAUUUCACUAUUUGAGUAAUUGUUUUAAAUCCAUGAGUUCAGUUAGUGAUUUAGUAUUAGAACAAAUCUAAAAAUAUCACGCUUCACCCUUUUAAAAUAUUCAAUAUUUUCUUUUUUAAUCUAUUGUUCCAUAUCAAUGAAGGCUAGUUGGAAGAAUUCUCUUUUUGGGUUACCUACUCGUUUCCAUUUUCUGUUUGACAAUUCUCAUAAAAUUUGGGGUUGGAUCACCAAGAUUGGACCUAUUCCACUUAAAAUGACUUUGCCCGCACGACGACACUCUCUUUGAUGUUAAUUUCUUGCAACAAUAAAUAUCUACUCCAUAAGUUUAUCCUUAAAGAAAAAUUAAGGAACACAUCAACUAUAGUAACUUAUCCAAUAUGUUUUAUCGUUGUAAUAUUUUGAUAUUUACUUUAUCAUGCAGUGAAAAUUACAAAAGAAAAAGGAAAAGUUUACAGUCUUGUCUUACUCGUGGUGUGUUUUAAGUAUGGUAGAAAUUGUAAAAUAGAUGAAAUUGCAGAACAAAAGAGAAAAAAGCAAAAAAGAAAAUAAUAAGAAGAAGAAAAAGAGUAGCUUCGCUAGUUAGAGCCUGAUCCACCAGGAAUCUUUCACCGCCAGUCAUGUUCCAGGGUGGCUAAUUGGAAAAUAAACAUAAUUAUCGGAGAAAUUAAGAAAAUUAAAGUUCUUGUUGAUUCAUUUGCACGUACGCAUUAUAAAAAUAAAUACUAUAUAUUAUAUGAGAAUUGGGAUAUAUGGGUAGGAAUUAGGAUGGUGCAAUUUGAAGAAUUUAAGAAACUUCCUUGCGAGAAAUGGACAAAAAAUUGAGUCUAGCAUACGUGUGAUGAAUCUUCUACUUAUACGGAAUGCACAUGUGUGCAUGUCUGUUUAUAUUGAUUACUCUCACAUGAAUCUUAUAUAUAUGAUUUUGUAUCUUGCUUAUUGUUUUUCUGUUUUUUCAUAUGAAAAAUAUUUAAGUAGGAUCAUCAGAAAACUGCAGGUUGUAUAGUAAUUACUAAAUACAUUUAUUUCAUAUAAAACUAUUAUCCGUCUAGCCACAAAAGAAGUCCCUAAAGGCUUCAGGGGAAAUGAACAUAUACCCAACCCACGCAUAAUCUUUCCUUGUUUCCUUGCCUGAUGAUAUAUCUGCUGCUGGGGGUCCCAGCAAGAGAGGGCUUCGUACUGCCAGGGAUGCAUCAAGUUGCUGUGGAAAUUUUGGAGGGUUCCUAUGUUGUUGUUUGUCAUUGAAGACUGUCGGAAGGAUGAUCAAUUGCUGCAGCAGAGUGGAGAUGAAGAAGCUUUGUUCUGCACAUUGUGUAAUGUUGAGAGGGUCUUUCGGAAAUAGUCUCUUUACUCUUUCUGAAUAGGGGUAAGUUUUGCAUUGUGAGCACGUAAUUUUUGCCCUACACGAGAACAACUCCUAAAAAAUAAACCAAAAAUAAUUUUUAUUAAUUUCAGGAAUUUUUCUUUGUUUAUUUGCAUUUCGCGUUUUUAAUAAUUUUAAAUCAUAGAAAAAUUCUAAAAAUGAUUAUUUUUGUUAUAAAUAGACUUCUAUUUAAGGUGAAUGUCUAUAAUUAGAGAGAUUCUAGAG